AAAUGUAUAGCACAGUAAUGAAGGCAGCAACAUGUGAUAGAUGGGACAGAGCAAGAGAGACAUAAUAAUCUUUCAUUGUGCUAAAGUAUUAUAAUACGAAAGGGUAUGGCUCCUAUACAGCGUGCAGCGCUUAUACGCAACCAGUGCGCAGAAUGGUGCGCUUGAAGCAACACAGAGUCACAGCAUGCAGCAUUACUCAUAUAAAGUACUCAUCUCGAUACUUGUGUGCCGAUUCAAUAUAUAUUGCCAUAAUUGAGUAUUGUGAUUAUAUAACUAUUGCAAUUUGUGACUUAUCCAAAUUGUCUAUAAAAUUAUUUGUUUGUUUGUGUAGAUUUGAGGGAAAGAUGAAAAAUCAGGAGGUCUGGGAACGACUGAAGAAGACAGCAGUGAGGGAAGGAAGUAAUCACCAAAUCUGCCAGAGAAGGAUAUUGACGGUGCAGGCUCAGGAUGAAGAAGAAGGAGGAAGAA
Cyprinus carpio (common carp) is the source of this 468-nucleotide long non-coding RNA. RefSeq lists it as uncharacterized. Lineage: Eukaryota; Metazoa; Chordata; Actinopteri; Cypriniformes; Cyprinidae. The transcript has 2 exons. The record is from RefSeq and is a predicted model, not a curated record.